Molecule: ribosomal RNA, 511 nt
Filed under: uncultured bacterium
Lineage: Bacteria
Description: bacterial SSU rRNA
Rfam family: Bacterial small subunit ribosomal RNA
Source: RNAcentral
GAGUUUGAUCUUGGCUCAGAUUGAACGCUGGCGGCAGGCCUAACACAUGCAAGUCGAGCGGUAGAGAGAAGCUUGCUUCUCUUGAGAGCGGCGGACGGGUGAGUAAUGCCUAGGAAUCUGCCUGGUAGUGGGGGAUAACGCUCGGAAACGGACGCUAAUACCGCAUACGUCCUACGGGAGAAAGCAGGGGACCUUCGGGCCUUGCGCUAUCAGAUGAGCCUAGGUCGGAUUAGCUAGUUGGUGAGGUAAUGGCUCACCAAGGCGACGAUCCGUAACUGGUCUGAGAGGAUGAUCAGUCACACUGGAACUGAGACACGGUCCAGACUCCUACGGGAGGCAGCAGUGGGGAAUAUUGGACAAUGGGCGAAAGCCUGAUCCAGCCAUGCCGCGUGUGUGAAGAAGGUCUUCGGAUUGUAAAGCACUUUAAGUUGGGAGGAAGGGCAGUAAAUUAAUACUUUAGCUGUUUUGACGUUACCGACAGAAUAAGCACCGGCUAACUCUGUGCCAGCAC